RNAcentral lists this long non-coding RNA (13323 nucleotides) under Vitis vinifera (wine grape). Its description in RNAcentral is "long non-coding RNA (VVIN_LNC004288)". The record is from RNAcentral. Lineage: Eukaryota; Viridiplantae; Streptophyta; Magnoliopsida; Vitales; Vitaceae.
UUCCAAGCCCAACCUUAAUGUCUUGUGCUAAAUAAAAACCAGAUAUGUGUCUAACAGGUAGAAGGACCAUAUCACUUAUAGCCAUUAUCAUUCAAUCAGUCUGUAGAUUGGAUUUCCUGAAUUGCAAGACAUCAAAAGAAAUCACUUGAGCCAAUUUUUCACAAGCUUAAUGAUUAAAAUUGUUGUAUAUAAGUCUACCAAUUAUCUUCUUGUGAUACACACAUAGGUUAGACAUUUUAAUACACCAAAAAAUAUACUCUUCUGAGCUUAAUGUUGGAAGGUUUUUAAGAGAGUUUUCUUUUUUCCUUUGAUAAGUAAAGAUGUAAGAUUAUAGACAUGGGCCAAAGAAAUAGUGCAUCAAGGUAUGCAGGUCUUUACGAGGGUCAGUUUUGACAAGAGUUAGAAGUCUUUUACUGCAUUUGAACUGCGUAGAGGUAAUCACUAUGAUCCUGUUUCAGCUAUAAAGAAAACUUAAUUUAUAAUAAGCUUAUGCAAGGACAUGAAGGUACACAAACUAUUUUCCUUUUAUUUUUUAAUGAACAAUUAAGUGAACCAAAGAAAGGAGUUGAUUAAAAAUAUAAAAUUUUUGUUAUACAAAUUCUGUUUUAUGUAUUCCUAUGCUAAGUUAAAUAUCUCCCAAUUUUUUUAUGUGAUGUUUAAUGUAAUAAGAAGCUGAAAAUAUAAGCAAUGUGCCUGGAAGUGAAGUGUGUAGAUCAGUAGAUUGAAUGAAAAUGACAAGGGGAAACUUUGGUGGCCAAGAAAUUAGUGGUUUGAAGAAAUAUUUUGGUUGGGUAAUGCUACAAAAAUAUGCUUCUAGGAAUAUCUUUGGUUGAGAAACUCUUAUUAUUUUCUUAGUGCUAGUUUCUUCCUCCCCAUCUAUAUCUUAUAACUUCAAUUUUUGCUGCAGCUUCUUAAAGCAAGGUAUUGAGGAACCUCUAAUAUUUGCUUUAGCCCAUGUCUAUUUGUCACUCGCAUUUUCUAACAUGAGAGUUUGGUCCUCAUCACCGUUAGGAUUGUUCUUAGGAUUGAGGAACUAGCUCCUUCUUUAAUGCUAUCUUUGCUUCUAUCAAUUCAGUUCCUUUUAUUCCUGUAAGUUUUAUUUGGAAAUCCAAAGCCUGACCAAAAGUGAAGGCCUUUGCAUGAGUUGUGGAAAAUAAGAACAUCAAUACAAAUGACUUGCUCCAACAAUGAAGACCAUACAAAGCACUUAACUCGGAAUGAUGUAUCAUGUGCAGGGGGAGUGGGGGAAUCUAUACAUCAUGUUGUUUUUUAUUUUUAUUUUAUAAGUAAACAAGAUAUGCAAUAGAAAACAUCAUGUUGUUUUUUAUAUUGCCCUGUAGCAUCAAUAUUAUGGUGUAGAUUAUUUCCAUUUGUAAGGAUUGAUUGUGUUCAACCUAGAAGGAUGGAGGAGAUAUUGAUUAUGUCCUUUAGAGGUUUUGGGGGAUUGCCUACAGUCCUCUACCCUAUAACAAGGAUGACCAUUGAUUUAUUGCUUUGUGACAAUUUGGAAUAGGAUCUUGAUUCGCGGUGUGAGGAACUAAUCAAAGAAGAGUUUGGGGAGGACUGUAAUUUUGAUGUGGAUGAUGCUGUUCAAAAGUUAGAGAAGUUAGGCAUUCUGGACCUAUCAUUUCUGUAAGUUGAUGCGAAAGGGCUAUCAUACCAAAUCUUAUUCAAAGAAAAUGAAACCAUCAUAUACAAAGUAAUUCAAUUAUAUGACUGAUUGCAUUAGUUGUUUUACUGGGACCUUGAUAAGGGACUUCAAUAUUGCUACAUACAUGAUUUGUCUGUUCCUCAAUGGAAUUAUUUUAAGAAAUUGCAUGGAGUAUGCUUAUGGAAAGUCUACGCAUUUCUACAGGCACUUAUCAUCACACAUAUACAUACUAAAGAAAAUAAUUUAUAUAUAUUUAGGGAAACAUAAAUUAUUAGGAUAAAUUUAGUUCUCAGUAAUCAGAUUGAGGGCUUUCUUAGAAAAAAUCUCAUUGAUGUUCUUGACCCCUGUUGAUAUAUUUCUCUGUUUCACAUCUUGCCUACAUCUCUCCCUUUGUAGAUAUAUGAGAGAGGGAUAGGGUUGGUUUCUGUCUAAUCUGACUAUAUGUUGAUUUCAGGACACAAUUGGAAGGUAUUACUGUGUUGGAUUGAAGCAUGCUAAUGAUAUCAUCGGAACAACCACAGAGGAGCUUGUCCUCAAGGCAAAACAGGGUUCCUUGAUUUCCUGAUGCUGUGUGGCUAAGGACCUAAGGUAAGCUUGCUCUCUCUCAUAUGCAUAUCAAGAAUAAUUCAAACUUGUGUUUUUUGUAAUUACUCUUGAAAAUUUAACACCCUAAGAGACAUCUGCAGGUGUUAAUUCUGCUAUCAAGCACCUAAGAGCAGACAAUUCAGCUUAGAGGUUUUCCAGUUCUUUUUUUUCUUGUUUUUUUCUAUUUUUUUUUUUAUUUAAUGGGUUCUUUCUAAAGGCACUUGUCUAUUAAUGUAUGUAAUUUGAUUUGACAAGUUUAUUCCCAUUCUUUCUUUUCUCUAUCUCUCUCAAAGGAAAAAAAACAACAAAAAAAACUGUGUGCAUGUAAUUUGGCAAGAUUUCCAGAUUGUGAAUCUGUCCAGGAUGCAAAAGCCUACUGUUAUGCUAAGAACAUUCAUGUUGUGUUGGAUGGAAUUUUGGGAAUGGUUUCUUUGUGGAAUCCUUUGUAAGAUGACCGUCAGCAGCGAAAUGAAGAGCCACUUUUUUGCUUCUUUGUGGUUGUUGCCUUGUUGGGAAUAUAGGACAUGAAAGCUUGGGUUUUGGCAAUGCCAUUCCGGAUGAGAUCUCCUCAUCCGGAUUCCACCUCCUUCCCAAAAUGCAUUCCAUUGAAUUGCCUUGACUGACACCGGAUACUAGACACUAGUCACACUAUGUAGCAGGACAAAUCUGUAAAGAACUACUAUCUCUGCUCAACUCCAAAUUGGAGAUUCUAACUCUAGAAGGUUGUACAAUGCAUGGUACUUCAAAGAUUGGUGCAGCAGUAUUAUAAUUACUAAAACUAACUUGUUUUUUAUUUUUUAUUUUUUCCCUUGAAUCUUGCAGGAUGUGUAAACCUGGAGCUUCUUCCAAGAGGCAUUUACAAGUGGAAACACCUUCAAACUUUGUCUUGCAAUGGCUGUUCAAAGCUAGAGAGAUUUCCAGAAAUCAAAGGCAAUAUGAGAGAGCUAAGGGUGCUUGAUUUGUGUGGAACAGCUAUAAUAGACUUACCAUCAUCAAUUACAAAUCUAAAUGGUCUUCAAACUCUCCUACUUCAAGAGUGUUUAAAGCUCCACCAAAUCCCUAAUCAUAUUUGCCACUUAUCAUCAUUGAAAGUAUUGGAGUUGCCACUUAUCGGUAUUUUGUGGAGAGGUAGUAGGUGUCAUUCUUGAAUUCACUGUUUUUAUCAGCUCCAGGAUGCUAUUGGAGGCUCUUGAAAGCAAUCGGAGGUACUUGGGUUGUUGAGGCCUUAGCCGGUCAGCAAAGGCCAGACACCAGUAGAGGUGUUCACAUUUUCUACUUUCAGCAACAAGAAUGUUACAUUAUGUUUACCUCUGAAUCACCUUAUGAUUUUUAUAUUCAAUAUUCUUGUUCUCUCUUCUUCUGAAAUGGGCUGAUAGCAGAUUACUUAACCUGAAGCAGGAACUUAUGAAGAAUCUGGUUGGAUUGGGCACACAGGAAAUAGAGGGAGUGAUGGUACUUGCAGUCACAAACAGGCCUUUUGAUCUUGAUGAGGCCAUUAUUGAAAAAGGUCGAAGCUUAGAGAAUCUUGAAUUUAAAACCUCAAAAUUCAUCCUGAUCUAUGAGAAAGCAAUCUCCUAGAAGGAUCCACUAAUUGUGUGGCAUAUUAACUGCCAAGCAGCCUUGGUUUUUCUCUCUAUGUACACAUCUACACUUAGAUGAUGACUACAAAAGCAACAAAACAAAUCCAACAACAGUGCAUCACUGUGAACUUUACAAAGAUAGAAUAGAAACCACACUCAUAAACAGGGCAGCUUAUAACCCUGUUCGUUAAACCCAUCUAACAGAAUCCAAGAAACAUUCCAUAGAUUAUAUAUGAAAAUAUAGGCACAUGCUAUAAGAGUCUACAGUCUCACUGCAGCAAGAUCAUCAGAGAGUUUAAAAGGAUGGAUAUUCAUGGAUCAAAGCCAAAAAUUCAAAAGUCGAUCAUAAGGACAGGAUGCAUAAACAGAACCCAAGUAAAAUUCAGCAAACAAAGCAUCCACAUACCAAUCAGAGAAAUGGUGUAAGAGAGUCUGAACAACUAAUUCAAAAGGGUUGCAAAGAUAGAAAUUAAACUCCCAACCACCCAUUGAAUACUCCUAAUUUGGUCUUGUUGAGACAAAAAAAAAACCCAAAUACCCGAUACCCACAUUCUUUGUAAUCUCAAACAAAAUCAAUAGCCUAUAAAUCUUUUCUUAAAAAUGAACUCAAACAAAAGAAACACCCACUCAGCUCCUCUAACAGAGCCUAGAAAUCCUAAAAUUAUCUUAGGACCUGCAACACGUGAACUCAAAAACCCUAAACAGAGCACUUACAUAUGUGAACCAGAAUAGAGAAUGAGAGUUUUAGAGAGAGAAGUACUGGGAAAUGAGACUCGACUGCUCUAUUAAAAUCCGAAAAUCCAAAAUAAAUUUGGGUUGAGGGUUACCUUCAAUCAGAUCAACAAUGUCGAAUGAAAGUGAAGCGUCUUUCCAACUGUGUAGUCUCGGAUGGAGAGCGAUUGAGGAGGAGAAUGAAGAAAUUACCGCUUUGGGGAUGAGGUGAGGGUUGAGGAUGCCAGUUGCAGAAAGCUUUGAGGGGAUGGGUGGGCUAAGGUCGGGCGUCGGGCGUCGGGCUUUGAGGGGAGGUUUCAAACAAGGAUGAAAAUUUCUGUUCUUUUGGCCGAAAUUUCGGCGAAAUUUCGUGUUUCCGAGGUCGGCGAAACGAAAGAGGGGGGCGAAAUGUCGACGGAAGAAAUAUCCGUAAAUUUCGCCAAAAAUCGCCUCCGGUUGAAAAUUUUCGGAGAAAAAUCGUUUUGUUUCGGUUUAUUUCGGCGAUUUUUCGGCAAAAAAAACAGAAAUUUUCCUACCAGUCCAGCCCGCGCACAGGAUACAAAAUCUGAUCAUGAUUCGCAGGCAAAGCUUGUGUUUUUCAGCCUGGCUCAAAAAACGUGGAUUUAGGGUUCGUGAAAUUUAAAUCCAAUGGCACAACAGCAAAGAGACCCCUAAAACAGAUCCAGAAAACACAGGGAGCAAAAGAAAAGCAAUUUUUUUGGUUUUCUUUGGGGGUUUUGCAUGGAUUUUCUCGGAAAUCAAACGAGGAUGAAUUUUCCCGGAAAUCGAAUGGGGGAUGGAUUUUCUAUGGAAUCAAACGUGGGUUGCAAAAAAAAAAAAAAAAAUGUUUAGAUUAGUACCUGCGAGGAUUGAGAGUGGCAGAGGAAAAUAGGGCCUUUUUAGGGAUUCUGUCGGAGGGCAUCUUCAGAAAAGGGCAUGCCCGGGUGAGAGAAGUGGUGUGGCCCUUUUGAUUUUCAGAUUUAGUAGAGAUAAAAAAAAAAAAAUGGAAACAAAUUGUGGCCCUGUGCAUUGAUGGUCCAAAUUGAAGCUUAAUGUAAUCAAAUGAUCAUAAUUGAACCUCAUACACACUAUUGAUAUUUACUAGAAUAAGUUUUUCAUAAAAUUUUAUAAUAAGUGUAUAAGUACAACUGACAAUAUAAUUAUAUCUAAUAUCGUGAUUCACAAAUCAUAUAUAUAAUAUAUAUAUAUAUAUAUAUAUAUAUAUAUAUAUAUAUAUAUAUCAAAUUUUUCAAUAAAAUAAUUUUAAAUUGUCUAUUAUACUUCUAAUUAUAUUAUUACAAGGUUUUUUACAUUUUCAUGAAUUUUGAUCAAUUUUUUGCUUAUCAAAAAUUUUUUCCAAAAUAUCCGUUGAUAUUUCGUCGAUAUAGCCAUAAAAUCAAAUUACCGAUAUAUCCGUAAUUACCAAUAUUUUUAUCAUUGGUUUCAAAAACUGGCUUUUUUAUUUUAAAAAAAAAAGCCAAAUAUUUUGGCUUUUUCCAUUUAGCCAAAAAAUUUUAAAAUUUAGUAAUAAGUCAUUAAAAAUUUUAAAAAACAAACAACUUAAAUUCUAAAAGCAAAUUGCUUUCAGUAAAAAACCAAAAAAAUAAACACCACCUUACUCUAGUAUAUAUUGAUUCUUUGAAUGUCUUAGUAAAAAAUUGAUAUUUUAACAAAUGAUAAAAAUAUUCUUAUUGAUUGAGGAUGUAUUCUAUGAUUAUAUUUAUUAUUUUUAUUUACCAUAUAUUUUUCUCAAAUAUUAUUCAUAUAUGAAAUUGCAUACGUUAUCUCAAGAUGAACAAAAAAAAAAGUUCAUUUUGAAAAUUGUGCAACCACUCAAAGAAUUCUUUGAGAUAAAAGACACAUUUUUCAAAUAAACAUUAACAAAUGCUAAAUUUAACACCAUAUCAAAAGUUAUAUGCUAAUUGAAGGCUAUAAAAAACAAAUAUUAUGCUAUCAAAUGAAGGUAGAUUUUAUCUAAAUGAUGCUUUAUAUAUUCUAACAAAUCUAGAAGAAAAAAUUAUUCAGCGUUAAAGAUAUUCAUAGAAAUAGGUAUUUUAUUGAAACUAUGAAUGAAGGUAAGUAGAAUAUCUUUAUAUUGUCUCUAUUACUUCUAAUUAAAAGCACAUAGUAGAAAAGUUAUUGACUUUCUCCUUUAGACAAAUAUGAGGCUGAUUGAUCAUAUGUUGUUAUAUAUUUUAUUGCAAAUACUCCAAUGUGAAUUGAUGUCCUUGCAUGACAACUAAUAAAUGAAUCUAGCAAAGUCCCGAAGUGUGUUAGACUUACUGACUUAAAGGAUAUAAUUCUCUGAAGAAGGAGAAUACAAGGAAAAAUUAACACUCUUGAAGAAUUAAAAAAAAAAAUGGUUGAUCAAUGACGAACAAUAGCCCUCAAAGAGGCACAAAUAAAACAAAUAACUCCUAAAGAGACAUAUUUAAUAAGUAGCCCACUAAAGAAGUAUAAAUUGAAUGAGUAGCCCUUGAAGAGGCAUAUGCAUCUUACAAUAAUGAGAUCUUAAUAAGUUAUUAACAACUCUUUCGCUUUUCAAGUGGCUUUUGAGCUCAUAAAAAAUGAUUAAGAUCCCGAACCUCAAAAUAUGAAGAAUCCUGACAUAAAAAUGAUUGAUUAAAAUGGAAAGAAGUUGAAAGUAGUAAAGGAAAAAAAAUCUUCUCUUCUUAUUCAUUAUGAGUUUAUACAGAGUAUUUAAAAUACAAAAGAAUUGAGAAAAAGGAAUUAAUAUUCCUAACCUAAUUAGAGAUUUGAUAGCCUAAUUCUAAACCUAAUUUUUAUCAAUUAAAGAAUUAUCUAAUGAAUAUAUAUCUAACAGCUAUAUAGAUAGUUGUAACAUAUACAACUAUACUAGUCAACUAUAUGAGAGUAAUUAUAGAAAAAAUUGAGUGUAAUUAGGUUCAUAUUCAAACUUAAAUCUUCCAACACUUCUCCUCAAGUGGGUGCAAAGAUAUUUUGCAUUCUAAGCUUGUCUAAGAUAUGAUGAAAUGCCAAUCAAUUUCCACAUUUUUUGUACAAUCAUAAUAUAUCGGGUUAUGAGCUAUAUUAAUAGCUAUCUUAUUGUCAUAAUACAAUAUCAUAGGAUCUUUUAUCUUGAUCUUAAGGCCAAUGAGCAUAAUUAUUAGCCACAAUGGCUUGCAAAUGCCUUGAGUCAUAACUCUAAACUCAACUUUUAGACUUGAUAAAGUAACAAUGGGUUAUUUCUUACUUCUCCAAGUGAUGAGAUUACAUCCUACAAACAUAUAAUAUCCAUUUGUUAACUUUCUAUCUACUACAGAUCAUGCAUAAUCUACAUCAGUGUAGGCUUCCAAUCUUAAAUCAUCAUUUCUUUGAAAUAUUACUCCUUUACCCAAGGUAGCCUUUAGAUAUCUAAUAAUUUUGAAUAUAACUUCUAAGUGGGAUUUUAGUAGAACAUGUAUAAAUUGACUGACUAUACUUAUAGCAUAAGCGAUAUUUGCCCAUACAUGUGAUAUAUAAAUCAAUUUUCCCAUCAUUCAUUGAUAGGUGCUUCGAUUUGUUGAACCUUCUUCGAUUUUCUCCCCUAGCAUUUGGUUUGCCUCAACAAGAGUCUUAAUUGGUUUACAUCCUAGCACACAUGUUUCUUGUAUAUAUAUUUGUUGCAAGAUAAAAUCUCUUAUUCAGAUCAAGCAACUUCUAUACAUAGAAAAUAUUGUAGACUUUCCAAAUCUUUAAUUUCAAUUUCAUUUAAUUUGCUAAGUAUGUUUUUAGUUUUAUAAUCUUCUAUUAAUCAUCUCUAGUGACUAUAAUAUCAUUAACAUGGACAAAAAAUAUUAGUUAUCUUCUCUUGGGGAGAAGGCUUUAUGAACAAUGUGUGUUCACCUUGAAUUUGACAAUUCCUUCUUUUUACCAUGGAUUUUGCAAACCCCUCAGACCAUGCAUAUAAGGACUAUUUGAGUCCAUAGGGAGACCUUCUAAGUCUACACACUUUGCUCAUCAAUGCUUUGUGAACAUAUAAAAGUGGGACGCCCAUGUACACUUUUUUUUCUAGAUUGCCAUGAAGGAAGACAUUUUUUAUGUCAAGUUGUCGUAAUAACCAAUCUAGAAUAGCUACUAAAGACAAUAGAAUCCUAAUGGUGUUCAUCUUGGCUGCUGAUGCAAAUGUAUCUUAGUAGUCUACUUCAAAUGUUUGAUUGUACCCUUUAGCGACUAACCUUGCCUUAUACCAUUUAAUGGUCCCAUCAUCUUUGGAUUUAAUGGUGUGGAUCCAUUUACAUCCAAUUAUUUUCUUCUCCUUGGAUAAGUGUACGAUUCCCCAUGUUUUUAUUUAUUUAUUUAUUUUAGAAGGUUCUCAUCUCCUUUUUCACAGCCUCCUUCCACCGUUUCAUGUUCAGUGUUUCAUAAACUAUUGUAGAAAUUUCAUGGAAUGAUAUUUUGAAAGUGAAAGCACGAUCUUGUGGGAAUAGUCUCUCAAAUGACACAAAGUGAGAGAUUGGAUGUUGAGUGCAUGAUCGAGUUUCCUUCCUAAGAGUAAUAAGCAAAUCCAAAUCAUUGUUAGCAUAAACAUCAUGAUUAACAUUUUCAUUACUUGAUAUCAAGUCGAAAUUUGGGACUUAUGGAAUGAUAAAAAGUUUUUUUUUCCUAGAGUACACCUUCAUAGUAGGCAUAUUGGACCUCAAAUUCUCUAUUUCUAUAAGAAUCAGUGAUGUUUUUACAUUUCUAAAUUUUUAGCAAAUGUUAUUUCUAGUGAAGGGUUUAAUAAAAGUAUGGUUUGAGACUCUUUUGUACUGAAAUUGUUUAAGGACACUAGAAGUACUUGGUUUUGAUUAAGAAAACUUGAAAUAGUUUGGUUUUGAGCAACAUUCAAAUUACUACUUCCUUUGUUCCCAUUGUCAUAAAAAAACCUAUCUAGGACACAAGUGAGGUUUGAAAUUUAACUUAUGCUUGUCUAGUUGGUGGAUGAUAACACUUUGCUUCUUUUUUUUUGGGACCUAGAAAUAUACAUUAAAAAAAAACCUUAGAAUCGAAUUUACUUCUCAAAUGGUUGUGAACAAGGAUGAAAAUAUUGAUUUUGACAAAAAUAUAUUGAUAACUUGAUUUUACAAAUAUAUCAAGAUAUAUCGAAAAAUAUUGAUGGAUAUUUUGACACAAAAUAUCAAUAAAACUAAAAUUAAUUAAAACUCAUUAAAAUAUUAAAAAAACCUCUUAAAAAUUAUAUAUAUUAACACAAAUAUCAAUAAAGAAGUGGUUAUAUUUGUCAAAAUCAUCAUGAUAAAGUGUCAUGUGAAAAAAAUAAAUUUGUUAAUUGUUAAUAAAUGAGUGUUGGAUAAUACUACGCUAAAUAACUUUGAACAGUUAUGAGAUUUUCAUUGUAUCGAAAUUUAAUAUAAAUGUAAUUAUAUUCCUCAAAAUUAUCCUAAUGAAUUUUUGUUUUAAAAAAAUUAAUAAAUCUUCAUAAAGUUGCUCUAAAUUCUUAAUUGAAUAAGUCUUUUGUCCAAUCCUAUGAAAAUUACUUAUCUAACCCCUCCUUUCUUUACUUAACUUCAAAAUUUUAUAAGUUAAUUUUCUCCAACAUCUUUAUAAAUCCUUUUAUUAUUUGAAUAUUAUAAUAUAUUUUUUUUAAUUUCAAAAUUUAAACUAAAAAUAUAUUGAAUAUGUCAUUAACUACCAUUACUAGCAUUUGAAACUCCGAAUUUGUAUUAACUUUAGGUGGUGUUUGUUUUUUUACUUAACUCCAAAUAGAACUUUAAUGUUUAAUAGUAUUAAGUAUUAAAUUGUUUGUUUUUGUAAUAUUUUAUUUUUAUUAAGUAUUAAAAAAUAAAGAAAAAUCAACAUAUUGUUUUUUUUCCAUUUAGUAAAAAGUUUAUAAUAAAUUAAGAAAAAGUAGAAAAACAAAUAAUUUAAAAUUUAAAAACAAAUUAUUUUCAGUAAAAAGUUAAAAAAAAUAAACACUCUUUUUAAGUGUUUUGAAUUAUAAAUUUACCUAAUUAAUCCUUUUUUUUCUUUACCUUUAAUAAGGUAUGUUUUCAAUUUAAAUUUCAAAAUAAUAAAUAAAUUUAUCAUAAUAUUUAAAUAAUAAAAAAAUUAUUAGGAUGGUAGAAAAAUUAACUUAUAAAAUUUUGAAAUUAGAAGAAAAAUGACUCACCAAAAUACGAAAGUCAAAAUCUUUCUGAAAAUAAAUUCCUAUUUAAAGAGUGCAUAACCUUAUGAAUAAGCUCAUAUUAAGUCAUCAAAUUUUGAAUUCACCUCAAGAUUCUUCUUGAAAGGUAAGGGGUAUGAAUAAAAACCAUUAUAUAUAUAUAUAGUAAAGGAAAGAAUUCAAUAUAAAAUAGAGAACCAUCAUUAUUAUCUUAAAAUUCUAAUUCGAAUUUUAUUCUUUGUUAAAUUACUUUUAUCAUAUUUUAAAUUUAAAUUAAAUAAAAUUUAUAAGAAUGUUCAAAAUUAAGAAAUCCCUACAACUUUAUAACUUUUGGAAAUUAAUAACCUUUAUUUCUAAUCCAUCAUUAUGCUAUUGAAAUUUGUUAUAAAUAAGAGAGGAAAAAACAAAAAUUAUUUCUAAAAGCAAAGAAAAAAAAACAUGUAAAGUGAAAAAAAAAAAAGGAGCAAUAGGAGUUUGACAGGAGGAGGGGGGAGAAUAUGGAAGAAAGAAGUGAAAAAGGUCAAAGAUAGGGGGCAGAGUCAGAGGAGUAGGGUGUGUUGGAAAGUGAGAAGUAGGGGGAGCCUGGAGGGAGAACACAUACAAUGUACCACAUUAAAGCAGAUGAUGCCCAAUUCUGAUUCGUAUCUCUAUCUACUUCCACAUAUAUUCUCUCUAUACAAAGCACCCAUCAUUCAUCAUCAUCAUCAUCAUCAUCAUCAUCUCUCCCUCUCCCUCUCUCCCUCUCUCCCUCCCUCUGACCACCCACCUUUGAAGAAAAAAAAAAAGACUCCAUUCUCUGAACCAGGACACUCCCUCAUUUCCUCAAUCACCAGCAUUCUUGGAUUUUGAGAGAAUCUUUGAAUCUCUCUCAUUUUCCAAUUCAAUCUCCUCUCCUCUCCUCUCUCUCUCUCUCUCUCUCUCUCUCUCUCUCUCUCUCUCUCCCUUUCUCUCUUCCUCCACUUCAUCAGCUUAUGUGUGUUGCUCUCCUCCGCCCAUUCAGCCCAUUUGCCACCCAUUAAGGGGUUCAUCUUUAUUUUUAUUUAAAAAAAAAAUUCAUUGUCAUUUUUGAGUAAUAUAAUUAAAUUUUGAUUUUUACAUCUAAAAUGGGUAAAAGAAAAAGUGAUGAAUAUAGCCUCUAUGCCUCUAUGCUAUUAAAGUAGAAAAUCUAAUCACAUCUCUUUGAUUAGUUGACUAAAAAAGAGGAAGUUGAUUUAUACCUAAAUUUAAUUUGUUUAGAAAAUAUGUUGGUCAAAAAGACAAAAAUAACUUUAAUAAGAUUUUUUUUUGUCUCUGCCAUAUGUUAAAUUUCAUUUCUUUUUUAGUAUGUGUGGAAGACAAAUUCAAAAUUAUGAUGGUGGACUAGAAUUAGAAGAGUAGUGGAAAUCAUAUCAACUAGGACUUCUUUUAUUGGGAUUUCGCUUCUUUUAUUCUCUUAUUCACAUGCUUUCUUUCUACUUCUAUUAAACUUGUCACGUUUAAUUCCAUACCUAAUUCAUCUAUUGGACCCUUUUUUUUAAUAAUUAUUUAAAAAUAAUAAUUAUACAACAUAUAUAAUUAAUAAAAGUAAAGUAUUAGAUAUAAAAUUAUUUUUAAAACAUUAAAAACAUUUUGGGUUCCAAACAUACCCUUAUUCUGUAAAACAUCAAAAAAUAAUUUUUUAAAACCAUUCUCAAAGAUUAUUUUUUGGAAUAAUUUUUUAAAAUAAUUACUAUAUAAGACUAUAAGAUAAUGAAAAAAAAAAGAAAUAAUUUUAAUAUUUAUAAAAAUGAUUUUUUUUAUUUUUAAUAUGUAUAUUAUUGGUAUGCAAGAGAUAAGAACGACCCUUUUAUUUUAUUUAAGAGCUCAAUAAAAUAACUUAUUUUUAUCUUAAUAAAUUAAUAAUAAUUUAAAGAGCAUAAAAAUGGAUAAAUAAUAGAAGUUUAGCAUAUCUUCCUCCAAAACGUAGCGUUUUGGCCGAAUAUAUGGGGAUCUGUAGGUGUGAUACUGUCUGAUUCGGACCACAGUACGAAACCUGAUUUCCAACAACAUUCAAAGACCCACAGAAAUAAUAAUUAAAAUAAAUUAAAAGGAAAAUAGAAAAAAAACAAAAAACCACGUUUUCACUCGUACUAUUACUUUCCUUCAAAGGCAAGUUCACCGCAUCAUCAUGAGAUUAAGACCAGGAAUGGACGGCGAGGAUCAAAUCACGCUCAUCGACCUCUAUAAAUAGGCAGUCCACCCAGCCAUAUCACACUCCGUCUCUGAAAAACCACCCCAAGCCCAACAACCACACCUCUGAUACUGGACGGUAGCCGGUGGCGAGAGAAAUGGUCAGAGGUCCGACGAGACAGACAGUGAGAGAAAGCAAAGGCAUUACUAUUCUACGAUGGUACGGUUCUUCAGUGUGGGGUCCGUCGUGGUGCUGGCGGUUCUAGCCGCGUCGCUGGUGGUCCUGCCGUUGAUGCUGCCGCCGCUGCCUCCCCCGCCGCUGAUGCUUCUCUUCUUCCCCGUGGGCAUUAUGGCCGCCCUCAUGUUGUUGGCAUUCUCGCCGACGGACGCCGCCGGACACGUGGCAGUUUGGGCGGUGUAGGUGGAGGAAGCUGGUUGGGUGGCUCCGAUUGUGGUUACAAUACUUUGCCUUGUUUUUUUUAACAAAGUUCAGAAUCAGUGGAUAAUGAUUUUGUCUCAGUGCUGACGUCAUUAUUGUUGUUCAU